GUGAAUCAUCGAAUUUUUGAACGCAAAUUGCACUCUCCUCGGAUAUGAUGCCUGUUUGAGGGUCAGCCUAAAAAAAAUCGACAGUGUUGCUGUUUUAUGGUGACUUUCGGCGGAGAGGGGUGAUCUUAAAUCUCGGUUUAAGCGACUUAAAAAUUUUUUUUACUAUUCUAAGAAUUUUUCUAGGAUUUUUCUUGUC
RNAcentral lists this unclassified non-coding RNA (196 nucleotides) under Glomeraceae sp. RNAcentral describes it as "partial contains 5.8S ribosomal RNA and internal transcribed spacer 2". The record is from RNAcentral. Lineage: Eukaryota; Fungi; Glomeromycota; Glomeromycetes; Glomerales; Glomeraceae.